AUCUUAGUAAGGUCAGUUUCGAUCAAAAAAACUUCAGCAAGGAUGGUUCUGAUCAAAAAAAUCCCUGUAAGGUCAGUUUCGAUCAAGAAAACUUUAGUAGAGUUCGUCAGACAGGAGCUUCGGCCUUUCAUACUACUUUUAUGUUCAAACACGAGUUAAUGAAUCUAAAAAUUUAUAUAUAUAGUAACAUGAUAUUACAGCAUCAUUAAUAGUAUAUAUGCAGAUUGAUCGAAUUUCAUGGCUUAGGGAGUGGGGUCU
Molecule: long non-coding RNA, 258 nt
Filed under: Elaeis guineensis (African oil palm)
Lineage: Eukaryota; Viridiplantae; Streptophyta; Magnoliopsida; Arecales; Arecaceae
Description: long non-coding RNA (EGUI_LNC054791)
Source: RNAcentral